Long non-coding RNA from Mauremys mutica (yellowpond turtle), 1441 nucleotides. RefSeq lists it as uncharacterized. NCBI's taxonomy places the organism in Eukaryota, Metazoa, Chordata, Testudines, Geoemydidae. The transcript is spliced from 8 exons. The record is from RefSeq and is a predicted model, not a curated record.
CCAGGGGGAUGCCUCGAGCUGGCGAGUUCCUUCCCCUCCUCCUGCAUUUAUCUCUCUCCUUCCCUCCCUCCCUCUCUCUUUUCUGUACUGUGUUGGCCAACACACACUCUCUUUCCCUCUGUCUGUGUCCUUGCCUCUCCCUGUGCUUUCUCCCUUUAUAGGACACGGGUAGGUGUGGAUCCCCAUAGGCUAGGUCUCGGGAGCCAGGAAGAAGUAGGAGGGGAUGAAAAUUAUGUGGGGUCGUGGGUGCAAGAGUGGAGGCAGGUAUUGUAAAAUAUCUAGCACGGUAGCAUGUUGGAUAGUGAUGGCUCUUCCAUAGGUGGUUUGCUGUUCUUGCAGAGGCCCACUCAAGGCCAAUGGAGCCGCCCCAGACAGAGGAGAAGCAUCUGGAGGAACCAGACCUGCACAAUCUAGAUGUUUUUCACUUGGCAGUGGAGCUAAGGAGUGCUCUCAUGAUAUUCGAGGAGCAGGUACGGAUGCCCAGUUAGCUACGGCUCGGUGUGUAACAAAAUAAGCUGUGGAUAUGUGGGAGACAAGGUCCCCAUUUUCAACAUCAGCUCAUUUCUCCGUUCACAAGCGGUGUGUCCUCUGCAGAAAAGCUUGGAUCCAGGAGGAUGAUUCCAGCUGCGCUGGUACAGGAAUUGUCCAGGAACCCUACCCGGUGGAGAGACUCUCAGAAGUGAACCUGAUCAGCCUGAACAUUCUUCUAAGCAGACAUGAACAGUCCUCAGCUUUCUGCCUCCUGCAUAAAUGGCAGUGAAAAAAGAAGUCAUUUGCCAGUCUACUGCCCUCAUGUGAUGGAAAGCGAGCGAGAGAGAUGAGACCGUGAGCAUGGUUGAUGCCAUGCAAAAGCCGUCCAUCUGGCAGCAGAAGAGCCGUCGCUGUCAGUGAGAUAAGUGUCUGUUUUGAGGAAUUGUCCAGGAGCGCUGUCUGGAGGAGAGACUCUCAAAAGUGGACCUGAACAUCCUUCUAAGCAGACAUGAACAGUCCUCAGCUUUCUGCCUCCUGCAUAACUGGCUGUGAGUAAGAGGUCGGUGCCAGUGGAAUACCUCAUCUAUACUAGUACCAAGGGAAGAGAAGUCACGUAUCAGUCUACUGUCCUCAUGCAAAGGAAAGCGAGACCGACGAGACCGCGAUCAUUGUCGAAAUCAGGCAUUAGCUGUACAUCUGGGAGCGGAGCAGUCACCGCUGUCAGUGAGAUAAAUGUCUGGUUUGGUGAGGGAUCUACUCAUGGCCCACCUGGCUCCAGAUCCAUUUCCAGAGGAAUUUCCCAGGAGCUGCAGCCGGAGGAGAGGUUGGCAGAUGUGGACAUGAGGAAACUGAACAUCCUUCUGAGCAGACACGAACAGUCCUCGGCUUUCUGCUUCCUGCAUAACUGGCUUACCAAGGAAAAAGAAGUCACACGGCGGAGUCUACUGCCCUCAUGCGAUGGACAGUGAGU